This 283-nucleotide ribosomal RNA is filed under the name uncultured Actinomycetales bacterium. Its description in RNAcentral is "partial 16S ribosomal RNA". It matches the Rfam family "Bacterial small subunit ribosomal RNA", at positions 504 to 785 of the family's 1533-position model. The record is from RNAcentral. Lineage: Bacteria; Bacillati; Actinomycetota; Actinomycetes; Actinomycetales.
UGUGCCAGCAGCCGCGGUAAUACGUAGGGUGCGAGCGUUGUCCGGAAUUACUGGGCGUAAAGGGCUCGUAGGUGGUUUGUCGCGUCGUCUGUGAAAUUCCGGGGCUUAACUCCGGGCGUGCAGGCGAUACGGGCAUAACUUGAGUACUGUAGGGGUAACUGGAAUUCCUGGUGUAGCGGUGAAAUGCGCAGAUAUCAGGAGGAACACCGAUGGCGAAGGCAGGUUACUGGGCAGUUACUGACGCUGAGGAGCGAAAGCAUGGGUAGCGAACAGGAUUAGAUAC